AUAUUAUCGUCGACGCCUUUCUUUCUCUCCAGUUUCCCCUCCAUUUCCUUGGUUUUUUUUUUGGUUGUUGAUUGAUUGGUCUGGACCGUAUGGGAACGCCGGAGACGUCGCGCGAACCGUGCCCGGACCGGAUCCUGGACGACGUCGGCGGGGCGUUCGGGAUGGGGGCGGUAGGUGGGUCGGCCUUCCACUUCAUCAAGGGCCUUUACAAUUCCCCAAACGGCGAGCGGUUCGCUGGCGGCGCCCAGGCCGUCCGCAUGAACGCCCCCCGCGUCGGCGGCAGCUUCGCCGUCUGGGGUGGCCUCUUCUCCGCCUUCGACUGCUCCAUGGUCUACCUCCGCCAGAAGGAGGACCCCUGGAACUCCAUCGUCGCCGGCGCCGCCACCGGGGGGUUCCUCCAGAUGCGCCAUGGUGCCGGCCCCGCCGCCCGUUCCGCCCUCUUUGGCGGCAUACUGCUCGCCCUUAUCGAGGGCGCCGGCAUCAUGCUCAACCGAUUACUCAGCGCCCCCCAGAACAUCCCCGACCCUGCCCUUAUGGUGCCGCCGCCCAACGUCCCCGCUACGGCCGGCGCUGGAGGUGGUAUCCCCCAGAUGGGAUACCAAUCCACUGUAUCGAUGGCUGAAGAUACCACUGGCUCUUCCUCCUCUUCUUGGUUUGGAGGAUGGUUUGGAGGUGGGAAGAAGCAGGAUGAUGGCAACAGUGGAGGUGGAGGAAGCAAGACGGAAGUUCUGGAGAGUUUUGAUACGCCGAGCACUCCGAUCCCGACUUUUGAGUACAAGUAGGACAAGGGAACGGGAAUUUUGUUUGUGUUUGAGGGUUUUGCAACUUCAAGUUUAGCUUGGGGCUUUUGAGCUUUGUGAAACAAAAGCAUAUUAUGCUACUUUGAAUACAAGAAAAACAAGCAGAGGUGAAGAGGAAGUCGCAUAUCAGGCUUGGGAAGAAUCUGCAAAAGGCAUCUGAUAUUUGUUGAGGAUCAGGCAUCCAAAAAGAGAUAUUAGAAGCUGAUUGACUUAAUUUUACAUAAACUAUCCAAAAAGAGAUACUAGAAACAGGUUACCUUAAUAUUAAAUUACAUAAAGUGAGCUGCCUCCUGCAUCUCUACCUCUUAAUAUUUGUUUAUAUGAUGGCUACAUUUUUAAUGCCCUUAGAUACUCUUGUAGGUUUAGUAUGUGUAUACUGGGAGGAUAAACUAAAAUUGAAGCUUUGUUCAUGCACUUAUCUGGAUUCUAUGCAGUUAAUAUUAAUUAAGGGUGAGUUUGCAAGUUAAUAA
Non-coding RNA from Elaeis guineensis (African oil palm), 1270 nucleotides. Lineage: Eukaryota; Viridiplantae; Streptophyta; Magnoliopsida; Arecales; Arecaceae. The record is from RefSeq and is a predicted model, not a curated record.